Pseudophryne corroboree (corroboree frog) is the source of this 137-nucleotide small nucleolar RNA. RefSeq annotates it as small nucleolar RNA U109. Lineage: Eukaryota; Metazoa; Chordata; Amphibia; Anura; Myobatrachidae. The record is from RefSeq and is a predicted model, not a curated record. The transcript has a single exon.
GUGCAUGUUGGUUUUGUUUGUGUCCUUUAUUCCCAUAGGACACAUUUUAUCCUUACAUGCAAUAUAAUCACAAGGGGUAAUCAGGGCUGCCAGCCUUUUAAGUACAGGCUGAGUGGUAGUAUAUUACCCCUACAUUA